This 86-nucleotide non-coding RNA is filed under the name Aquitalea magnusonii. The record is from RNAcentral. Lineage: Bacteria; Pseudomonadati; Pseudomonadota; Betaproteobacteria; Neisseriales; Chromobacteriaceae.
UUCUAUGGCGGGCCGUGCGGGGGUCUCUUCGGAGACGCCGGGUCCUUGUAGCCGGUACGCCAACUCCGCAUCGGUCUGCCACCCUC